This 253-nucleotide ribosomal RNA is filed under the name uncultured bacterium. RNAcentral's name for it is "partial 16S ribosomal RNA". It matches the Rfam family "Bacterial small subunit ribosomal RNA", at positions 524 to 776 of the family's 1533-position model. The record is from RNAcentral.
UACGUAGGGUGCGAGCGUUAAUCGGAAUUACUGGGCGUAAAGCGCGUGUAGGCGGCAGGGCAAGUCGGAUGUGAAAGCCCACGGCUCAACCGUGGAAGUGCACCCGAAACUGCCCCGCUAGAGUCUCGGAGAGGAAGGUGGAAUGCUUGGUGUAGAGGUGAAAUUCGUAGAUAUCAAGCGGAACACCGGUGGCGAAGGCGGCCUUCUGGACGAUGACUGACGCUGAGACGCGAAAGCGUGGGGAGCAAACAGG